GAUGAAGAACGCAGCGAAAUGCGAUAAGUAGUGUGAAUUGCAGAAUUCAGUGAAUCAUCGAAUCUUUGAACGCACAUUGCGCCCCUUGGUAUUCCAUGGGGCAUGCCUGUUCGAGCGUCAUUUGUACUCUCAAGCCUUGCUUGGUGUUGGGUGCUUGUCUUUGCUUUGCGUAGACUCUCCCUAAAUACAUUGGCAGCCGAUAUAUUGGUUUGAAGCGCAGCACAAUUGCUAUUCAGGCUUGUUGUAUCAGCAUCCACAAAGAAUUAUAACACUUUUGACCUCGGAUCAGGUAGGGAUACCCGCUGAACUUAAGCAUAUCAAUAAGCGGAGGA
RNAcentral lists this unclassified non-coding RNA (332 nucleotides) under soil metagenome. RNAcentral's name for it is "partial contains 5.8S ribosomal RNA, internal transcribed spacer 2, and large subunit ribosomal RNA". The stretch from base 1 to 120 matches the Rfam family "5.8S ribosomal RNA", at positions 35 to 154 of the family's 154-position model. The record is from RNAcentral.